AUGAGCUGGGCUUUCUGCUUGCCAGAUGCCACAAAACUGACCGAGAACUUGGCGUGGCAGCGUCCUAACUUACACAGAUGGGCACCCCCGUGCGCUGGCCUGCGCCCAGGAACCUGUGCAGGAGUGACUUCUGGGCACCCUCUCCCCCGGAGUUGGGUGCAUCCAGGUGGGCGGGCUUCCAGUCCCCUCCCAGCCACCCAUCAGGUCUGGGAGGAGCCGGCCUCUGUGCCACCGGCUGCUCACCCGUCUCAUGCAGGGGAGGGCUGGCCCGGGCUGGGUGCCACUAACCUCUCCCCAUCGGGCUUAUCUCAAGGCUGCUUUGACAGUUGUGUGCCACCUGGGGCGGACCCAGCAGCCCUGCCCAGCCCCCUCCACGGGGCCGGGGCCAGCGACCUGGGUGUCAUCCUGGAAAAAGGGCUGCGGCCAUGUGGGGGCCCGAGGGCUGCGUGGUCGGAGACCAGAACCUGCCAUCUUGCCUUUGCCCCCCGAAUCCUCCAGGCUGGCUCCCUGAACUCCUGGCCUGUGUAUUCCCGGGGGGCUGCCUCUUGGGGCCACAGCCAGGACGCCAAGGGGGCUGCUCCUGUCCUUCUCUGGGAAGCCCAGCCCUGCGCCCGCCCCGCACGGGGCUGCUGUGUGGGUGGCGGCUGGCGGCAGCCAAGCGCUGAAGCCUCGGGCCCGGCCCACCCGCGGCUUCCCUCCUCCCCACAGCCUGUCUCCCUCCCCGUCUCCCCAUGCCCAGCUCUGGGGAGGCAGCCUGUCUCCCUCCCGUCUCCCCGUGCCCAGCUCUGGGGAGGCAGCCUGUCUCCCUCCCGUCUCCCCGUGCCCAGCUCUGGGGAGGCAGCCUGUCUCCCUCCCGUCUCCCCACGUCAGGACUCGGAACCGUCCGCUCCUGCCGAGUCCGGAGCCUUGGGUGUUGCUCAGGUUGUUGCCCGGUCAAGGACGGCUUUCCUGAGAGCGGUCCAGGGUGUCCUGCUUGCCCACCCCACCCCCGCAGGGCAGCGCCACGCUUCCAGGCUCGGCUCGAACCUUCUGGAAAGGGCACGUGGGCGCAGAAGUCAGCAGGCGUCUCGCUCCCGGGGACACUUACAGCGACUGCCUCCGCCCAGUGUUUUCAGCUCGCGGCCCCCGCAGCUCACCUGA
Molecule: long non-coding RNA, 1140 nt
Filed under: Oryctolagus cuniculus (rabbit)
Lineage: Eukaryota; Metazoa; Chordata; Mammalia; Lagomorpha; Leporidae
Description: lncRNA (ENSOCUG00000031179.1)
Source: RNAcentral